UGAUGAGCAUAAACUUUGGGUUAAAGUUAUGAGCAAAAAUGCUUCAUAUUAUAAAAUAAACAACAAAACACAAAAUAAGGGAUACCAAAUACAAAAUAUAAGAUAAAGAAGGGCAAAAAUGAAAACGAAUGUUGUGGUUUUUUGUUGUUGUUGUUGAUAGAAAUAAAACUAAUAGGCUAACAGCUAUGAAAUGAAAAUGAAUUAACAAGCAGGAGAUGAGUCUUAGAAAGAGUCUUAACGGGCAUUGAAUUAAUUAACUGCGCAACGCGUCUCAGGGUCCCAAUCGUGCAGCCUGCUUUCUGAUACAGACUUGAGAAGAGAAAGAGGAGGUCAAAGCCUCACACCCUAAAUCCAUGGAACCCACAAAAAAAGUUUUUGCCUGCUGGAUUUAAAGAUGACACUUGUCCUUUUUCAGACAAGUCACCACUGAUUAGUGCAUGAUGAUGAUGAUGGGUCACACAACAAAAGCACAACCGAAUCUCAAAUCUCUAUUCUAUUAUUCUAUUGUAAAGAACAUUCGAUGUGCAUGCUUAUCUUCAAUUUCCAUUCGAUUCUAGUCCUUUCCC
Molecule: long non-coding RNA, 566 nt
Filed under: Prunus persica (peach)
Lineage: Eukaryota; Viridiplantae; Streptophyta; Magnoliopsida; Rosales; Rosaceae
Description: long non-coding RNA (PPER_LNC001827)
Source: RNAcentral